GACGAACGCUGGCGGCGUGCUUAACACAUGCAAGUCGAACGGAAAGGCCCUGCGUUUGUGCGGUUCUCGAUUGCCGAACGGGGGAGUAACACGUGAGUAACCUGCCCUUGUCUUUGGGAUAACUUCAGGAAACUGGGGCUAAUAUCGGAUAGGAUCUCCUGCAGCGUGGUGGGGAUUGGAAAGUUUCGGCGGUUGGGGAUGGACUCGCGGCUUAUCAGCUUGUUGGUGGGGUAGUUGCUUACCAAGGGUUUGACGGGUAGCCGGCCUGGGAGCGUGGCCGGCGUCCAUGGGACUGCGGUAGGCACCAGAAUCCAACGGGAGGCAGCAGUCGGAAACCUUGCACAAUGAGCGGACGUGUGAUACGGAAGCCCUCCGUGCGGGAAGCCCUCCUUCGGGUUAAAAACCGCUUUCGACUGUGACGAAGCGUGAGUGACGGUAAUGGGUCAAGAAGCACCGGCUAACUACGUG
RNAcentral lists this ribosomal RNA (468 nucleotides) under uncultured bacterium. RNAcentral's name for it is "partial 16S ribosomal RNA". It matches the Rfam family "Bacterial small subunit ribosomal RNA", at positions 28 to 507 of the family's 1533-position model. The record is from RNAcentral.